AUCCUACGGGAGGCAGCAGUGGGGAAUAUUGCACAAUGGGGGAAACCCUGAUGCAGCCAUGCCGCGUGUGUGAAGAAGGCCUUCGGGUUGUAAAGCACUUUCAGUAGGGAGGAAGGUAGUGUAGUUAACACCUGCAUUAUUUGACGUUACCUACAGAAGAAGCACCGGCUAACUCCGUGCCAGCAGCCGCGGUAAUACGGAGGGUGCGAGCGUUAAUCGGAAUUACUGGGCGUAAAGCGCAUGCAGGCGGCCUGUUAAGUCAGAUGUGAAAGCCCGGGGCUUAACCUCGGAAUUGCAUUUGAAACUGGCAGGCUAGAGUCUUGUAGAGGGGGUAGAAUUUCAGGUGUAGCGGUGAAAAUGCGUAGAGAUCUGAAGGAAUACCAGUGGCGAAGGCGGCCCCCUGGACAAAGACUGACGCUCAGAUGCGAAAGCGUGGGGAGCAAACAGGAUUAGAUACCCUGGUAG
Molecule: ribosomal RNA, 465 nt
Filed under: uncultured bacterium
Lineage: Bacteria
Description: bacterial SSU rRNA
Rfam family: Bacterial small subunit ribosomal RNA
Source: RNAcentral